GGGAUUAUCCCUGAAUCCUGCUUCCAGGGAGCCUGUGAUGGGGGAGCCUGGAGCAAGAAGGGCAAAGGACAAGGAUCUUUGCUGAAAGGUGGCCUGACUUCUGGCUUUUGGGAGCAUGCUGGGCAGAGUGGAAAUUUUGUGUCCUCUGAUUCCAAUGAUGCCUCUGCAAGUUGACUGGGGGAAGCUUCCUCCUGGGGUGCCCGUGGUGCUGGGCUCAUCUUCAG
Molecule: long non-coding RNA, 224 nt
Organism: Corvus hawaiiensis (hawaiian crow)
Lineage: Eukaryota; Metazoa; Chordata; Aves; Passeriformes; Corvidae
Exons: 3
Source: RefSeq, a predicted model, not a curated record